This is a long non-coding RNA of Homo sapiens (human), 449 nucleotides long. Ensembl annotates it as Beta cell long intergenic noncoding RNA 1. Its record names the gene BETALINC1. The record is from Ensembl. Lineage: Eukaryota; Metazoa; Chordata; Mammalia; Primates; Hominidae.
GGCCAAGGUUUUUACUUGGAAAAGAAACCGCACACUUCGAAUCACAGAAGUGUUUACAUAGGGCAGGCUGGAGGGGACGAGAGAGACCUUGGUUGAUGGUGACUCAGUUCAUAAACACAGCAUCAAUAUUGAUAGACUCCAAAAGAUGCAUAUGCAGGACAUCUCUCGGGAUUUGCAGGGACCGACUGUUCAGGUGAACAUCCCGUACUGUUCGUUCGAGCAGGACACGGCAGAUGCUUCUUUCUUGUUUUAUGGAGGGUGGUGGUGGAUUACUCUUCCCAUCUUGUGCUUUUGAGGAUGCUCCAAAAACUUUAAAAAUUUAUCCAUGUUCCCUUUCACACAGUGGGUGUUUCUUUCCUCAGGCAGAAGGAAAACUUACCAAUGGUUUUUGAAUAUGAUAGGAAAGACCACCUGCAGGGAGAGAGUGGGACCCCUGCUCUCUGCCUCUG